CCUACGGGAGACAGCAGUGAGGAAUAUUGGUCAAUGGGCGGAAGCCUGAACCAGCCAAGUAGCGUGCAGGAUGACGGCCCUACGGGUUGUAAACUGCUUUUAUACGGGAAUAACGCGCCUUACGUGUAGGGCUUUGCAUGUAGCGUAUGAAUAAGGACCGGCUAAUUCCGUGCCAGCAGCCGCGGUAAUGCGGAAGGUCCGGGCGUUAUCCGGAUUUAUUGGGUUUAAAGGGAGCGUAGGCCGCAUGUCAAGCGUGCUGUGAAAGGUUCGGGCUCAACCCGGGCCUUGCAGCGCGAACUGGCGUGCUUGAGUCCGCGUAAGGCAGGCGGAAUUCGUCGUGUAGCGGUGAAAUGCUUAGAUAUGACGAAGAACCCCGAUUGCGAAGGCAGCUUGCUGCAGCGGAACUGACGCUGAUGCUCGAAAGCGUGGGUAUCGAACAGGAUUAGAUACCCUUGUAGUC
Molecule: ribosomal RNA, 460 nt
Filed under: uncultured bacterium
Lineage: Bacteria
Description: partial 16S ribosomal RNA
Rfam family: Bacterial small subunit ribosomal RNA
Source: RNAcentral